CCUAAAAAUCUUAUCAAGAUAGCACAGUUGGGUUUUCCUCCUUACAAAACAAUAUUUCUUAAAAUGAGAUUAUGCCGUUAAGUAUAAAAUAUUAUUAGGGUUCAUAUUUCUACUCUGAAAUGCACCUCCUUAUAUUGUUACAGUCUUGUGUAGGAGCUGUUCUCAAAUAAUCUUUCCUCAAUGACAGUAGUUCUCCCUCCCAAACUCCUUUUCUUUCUGUGUGCCAACCUUGCUGUCUGAUUGUUCACUCACAUACAGGAUCUAUGCUCAUACAGAAUUACAGCAGCAACUUGGAUGAAAAUGUGCCCCCAGUAUUCCAGAAGGGCAAAACCACACAGACAGCAUACCAAGAUGAGCCUGAGGUAAGUACACCAAGCGUUGACAUUUGUCACUUGCUGCUACCAAGAGGCAAAAAAUGGCAUUCAUGAGGCAAGGAUGAGAGCAUGAGCAUGUACUUAAACAAAGCAUUUUCUGACGAAGUAUGCAGUUCUCUGUUGUGGUGGCUUCUUUCAAUAGCCGCUUCCUGUCAUCGUGCUGCUAAGCUUCUAGUAAACACUGUCACCGCUUUUGUAACAUUUUAUAAGCUCCUUUCCACUUCAGCAUUAGGAAACUCAGCUCUACUCUCUCCAGGUAUUCCCAGUUGGUUCAUAAUGUCUCUUGUCAUUCUCCUGUAAUGGUAAGAAACUGUUCAUUACUUCAGAUCAAACUGUGCCUUUUAGGCUGGUUAUAGCACUGUGAAUGGUACUCCAGUGGCUUAUUUGAUUGAUGAGUUGUAAUAACUGCUUUUGGAUCCCUUUGUUGUGACAAUAGUUCUUCAGCUUCAUCCAUGUAUAAUAAAUAGCCUAACAAACACAUUAUUUCAUUUCUUUAUUAAGUCAUUAAUUACACUGCAAGUUCUUUAACUGCAGCAGAAGAGUUUCUGGAUAAAACCAACUUAUUGUCAUCAUUGUUGAAUGCACUACUCUUACAUGGACUAUGUGGAAGUAAAUCUAUACGUAACAGAACCUGCUAACACCACCAGUCUUUUCACUUAACACUUUUAGUCAAACCACAUUUUAUCUAACCUGGAACUAUUUGUUUGUUUUGGUAAUAGAAAGAUCAAAAUGUUCUUUUUAAUGCUUUUGUCAUGGAUUAAGAGAGAAUGUAUGGGCCACAUGUUCAAGUAAGCCAAAAGCUGUAUUUCUGUAAAAAUGGAUGAACCCAAAAUUUUCCUGAGUUUCAAUCAGUUGUAACAAAGAGAAAAUAUAGAGAAUACAGACAGUACAAAUACACAACAGCUGUUUACAUAUAAACACAUGCCAUUCAGCUAGUCAAAAAAUUAUUCAGACACCACCAUUUCAAAGGCAUAUUACUGACAUAUGGUGUCUGACAUGUUUCCACAACUGAGUACACUGGCUUUGAUGACAACCAUGAAAAUCACAUCUUUCCAUGUGAGCAGUUAUCAGAGAAACAGUCACAUGAAGACUAUUCUUACUGAUUCGAAAGGACUGCAAGAACCAAGGUAAGUCUUCUAGCUUUUCAAAACACCAGCCUCCUUUGCUUCAACCAUUCCAUACCCUGUUCCUCACCUCACAAUGGGACCCCAUGAACAGCAGAGCAUAACUGCUGCUGCUAUUGAGCUGUUCUCCCAGAGGCAGGCAAACAGACUCAAUUAGACACAACAGGCUAUUCCCAGAGCUAGUCUCCAAACUGACAGCUUGAGAUCCUUGGCAUAUGGCUUGCGGUUUCACUGUGUACGGAAGGUUACUAUUUUGUUAUAGGAAAACUAGAUAUUAAAGCCUCCUGUGGAGCUGAGUCAGGUUAAGGCAGGGCUAGAUACUCAAGUCUUCUAGCCCUGUCAGGACUUGAGGAUAUCUCAGUGGAAAAAGGUUUCUGGCUCUGCAGGCCAGAAUCUCAAGUACCAACUUAGAGGUUGACAAAAAAUACCUCGCCCCUGUAACUCAUAUGUGGGCUUAGAAGGGGAAUUGAGAUUUUUGCUUUAGAAUUCACUGCCCAAAUUUUGUUUACACUCCCAAGGGGGCAGUUGCUCAGCUCAGAGCCUAUCAGAGCAACAAUAAAAUAAAGAAAGGCAAUACUGAAAUUUACACAGACACCAACUUUGGAAGGCCAGACUGUUUACAGAAUGCUCUGCCAGCAUAUAUAAAUAAACAAUUCAUUUAUAAAAAACUAAACAUCUGCACAAAACUAAAUUAGCGCAAUUGAACUCCCUUCUCCCACCACUUAAUUCGCUUGUCCUAAAUAAGUAUUUUUCUCUAUUAAAUAGUAACAUACUUCUCCCUGGGAAUGUGCCUGAGUCUAGCAGUUCAUUCAUCAUUAUAGGCCUCAAACUCCAGUCAGCUGAGGAAUGUUUCCCUAUGACUACACUAAAUUAGGAACAUUUCCAAAGCAUUAUUCUUUCUCUGGCCCUUUUCAGAGUCUGUUGCAGUACCCUUGCUGGUCCCACUGAUGCAUGGACAAGGCUUUCUGCUCAUAGCUGCCUCAUAUCCCACCACACUGCAGCACAGCAAGCAAGCUGCCCUCCCUCUGUAGGGACACAAAGACUGCCGCUCAGCUCGAGGUGCUGAAGACACACUAACUGACAUUCAGUGUAAAAAUGCUAACUCUUGCAAUCAAACCCGCAAUUCACUUUGUGUUUUCUGUACUUGAAGUCCCAAGCUUUCUCUUUUUAAGUAAAAAUACUGUUAGCAUACAUAGAAUUUCCAUGUUUUAUUUUAUCAGCCUGUGUUCUCCCUGGUGUAGAACAGAAAGAAAAAAGGGCCGUAUAUUUUCUUUAAGUCACCAGUUGGUCCUCCUUUAAGGACCUUGUAAGACAGUUUUUUUGUGUAUUGUUUCUCUGCAUAUGUGGGCAGCUUUACUACUUCAUCCCCCUCAGGACCACUUAACAACAUCAGCAAAGCAAUUAAGUGUAGUUUUCAGGAAAAUGCCAGAGGCAUUACACUGUCUGGAUGGGAGUCUCAACCCAAUUAUUUUCAGCUAGUUGUGAACUGUGGAAAGUGGACUUUACUUCAUUAUAACUUCAGUUCCCACUGAUUAAAAGUCUAGUGUGUUACAGACAGUAAGGAAAAAUGAAAACAAUUAAACUUUCCGUCAAUAAAAUGGCUGCAUAUUCUUCAACAUAGGAGUUUACUUCUCUCCAGAGAAGUGAUUAAAAUGAACUGAUUGAACUAUAAUUUGAUUGACUGAAGAGCCUCAAUCCAUUGCACUAAAGCUUAAAUUCCAUCUUAUUGCUCUAUUUAACUCUGAAUAUAAAAAAAUUACUGACAGUCUCACAAACCUCUUACACAGUCAUCCAGUUGAAAUUUUUACUACUCACAGGCUGUGGUAGAUUCCAUUCCUUUUCUGCAUGAUUCACAACAGACUGAUGUUGAAAAUUGGCAAAGACCCCUAAGAAAUGACAUUAAUAUAGCUUUAAAAUCUUUAUCUGGUACCUAUGACAUAAUAGUCAUUUGGGGAUUCUAAACUCACCCACAGAUAGAGUUGACCUAAGAAAAUGAAAAAGGAUGAUAUUCAGGUUGUCUACAGCUGUUGCAGCAAGAAAAUAAUCUCCUCAUGAAAACCAAAGCCAUGAGGCUUCCAUGUGGUAGGAAGCCUCCUACCCAAGAUCUGCUUUCAGCAAGGUGUGAAGUUGCCAGAUGCACAGGUUUGUUUGCAUACAUAUAUGUGCCUCUUUCCUUCAAGGAGAUAUUAAAGAAAGACACACAUUAGCCUGGUCUCAGUGGUAAAUUGUGCUGGCUAAGAAUCAAGAUGCCUAGGUUCCCAGGCAAACAUCAUUUUCUUUGGAACUUGGGGCAAAUUUCUACAGUGUGUUUAUUCUACAAGACUACCAUCUCUACAGAUGAGUAACUGUCCUGCCAAAUUCUGAGACUCCUGGUGCACUAACAAAAGCUAGUCAAGAAACAUUAAGACAAGCAUGCUUUCAUUGACAAGCUACUAUGAUACAGAAAAUACCCAACUCAGCAUUCACUGCUCUGAAAAUUUAACUGAAAUGACAUUCCCCUUUAGAAGGUUGCCACUCUAUUGUUUGACAUUUUGUUUCUCUAUUUCUACUUCAUAUUUUGAACUAAAACACAGCAUUUGAAGUACAGCUGUACUGCACUAAAAUCGAAUUGGAAUAUAUUAUAGCUUUAAAUUAAAUUAUGUUGGUAAUUAAUUGAAUGAGGCUGGGUAAGAUGAGCAAAUAAAGAUGGGCAACAAGCACUGGGUUAAAUUCUUACAUGCUUCCUUUCACAGGCAGCUCAAACUGCCUGUGAAACAAACUCAAAACAAAAGGAAGGCAGUGGAUAUUUUUCUGUUAACAUCAGCAUUUGUUACUGAGCUCAUUCUGCUGUUGAGCUUCACACUUCUGGCUGUGACUGACCUACAACGCUAGCUUCACAAGCGAGCCAUAGAUCUAACGCAAACAGUUCCAACCUUUAGAUACUGCCAAACCCGGCCUUACAGGGAUUUCUGACCACACUCAAGGGUCACUAAUUCACUAUAUUGUUUGGUUCUACUAUGCAUAGUUUAUACCACAAACAUGAAAUUCUCCGUGUUUGUUAGCCAAAAGCUACAAAGACUGCACUAGAGUCACUAAGGGAAUAUUGCUGCACUAAGGUAAAAUGCUGCCUGUCUAACAUAGAAGGUCCACUUUUUCCACUUUUGACUAAUUUUGUAACAUAACUCUCAAUAACUGCCUUGCAUUACUGGCCUUUUCUUUUGUCUCUCCCUUCGUUUUGAUUACCAAAUACUAUGUUAUUCUCUACUUCACCUCAACUAACUAACUGUGAAUGACAAAUACACAGUAACAGGAAAGGAGACAAGGGCAAAUGCUCAACCACAAAUUCCUAGGUGCCUCUAGAGACUGCAGGAUGUUUGUUACAUUCCCUGUUACCAGUUUUAUGUUACACACAACAAAGGCACUUUGGGCACUAAACAGCCUAAAUGCCUAUUUGAACCUUUCAGUUCUUACAUAGAUACACUCUCGCAAUUUACAAACCCACCUUUGUCUGCAUAACAGCUGCAUAAGAAGGAGCUGUGUUUGAAGUCAUUUUCUUGCAGAACAAGAAACAUUUUUGACAGCAAAAAGACAAGCCCCAAGCGUGAAAGUAGCCCCAAGUCUUCUCUUUCUCUGAAAUUAGAACGUGGCAUUUAUUUGUCUUUCAUAGUGCUCCUACAGCCAUGGCAGCAAACAGCACAUGGGCAGGGUUUCUUACCAUGCUGACAGAACAGUCAUGAGUAAGCUGAGCAGCAUGCAAACAAUGUCAAGAUGAAGGCAAGGCCUCCUUCCAAGUCCAACCUGUGAGAAGCAGAUGAAGAGGCAUUUCCUCACUCAAGCAAUUGCUUAAUAUAUGCCCCUCCCUGCAAAGCAUCAUCAACUGUAUGGUCAGGAACUUGCCAACACCUCCACCAAACUACACUGGACAUCCGGGGAGGGAAAAAAAAAA
Molecule: non-coding RNA, 5423 nt
Organism: Meleagris gallopavo (turkey)
Lineage: Eukaryota; Metazoa; Chordata; Aves; Galliformes; Phasianidae
Source: RefSeq, a predicted model, not a curated record